GCUGGGUGUGAUGACACAUACCUCUAAUCCCAGUUACGUGGGAGGCUGAGGCAAGAGGAUCUCCAAAUUUGAGGCCAGGCUCAGCCACUUAUUGAGACCUUGUCUCAA
This 108-nucleotide small RNA is filed under the name Marmota monax (woodchuck). Lineage: Eukaryota; Metazoa; Chordata; Mammalia; Rodentia; Sciuridae. The record is from RNAcentral.